UGGGAUUAAAAGGUGUUAAAAAUUAUCAUAAAAAGUUACUACGCAGACUCGGGUUUAUCCAAUAAUGAAAUUACAACACAGCAUUUUUAGAUUUGAAAUUAACAUUACUCAACCCUUUUAGAUUUCUCUGAAUAUGCUUUCUUGAGGUGUGCUUUCCUGGAAUGUGCUGGGUGUGCCAGGCGGUUGGAUCCAGUUUUCAUCAUCAUGGCUGAACUCUGAAGAAAAACCAUUAGCCUCAGACAUCUUGGAUCAAGAAAGGGUACCCGCACCCAGACCCUGCAAAAGGUGGUGAAGAAGGUGCUGGGCGAGGGCGACGCCGGCGGCAGCGGGGACUGGCCCGACUUCCGGGUCCCAGUGGAAGGCCAAGCACCCAGGUUUCCCCCUUCCAGGAACCCGGAAGCACCCGGGUCGAGGCCUACCUGGACGGAUAAAGGGAGCCCGGCGGGUCGCUUACCGGGAGGACCAGGCAAGGGUGUAGGGGAGGAGGAGCCCUCAGAACCCCUGGACUCAGCAGAGACGGAGUGCCGUUUCCGAACUGCAUGUGCCACAAUAUUGGGAACCCCUAAGUUACCAUCAAAGUCGUGGCAGAUUCUCUGCAUGGCGAAGCCAAGAAAUUGGAUUGUACGGUCUAGGAGCUGCUUCCUGAAUUCUAUGGUGUUGUUCACAAUUCAGUUCUCCUGGUCAUCAUCCGCCCUAAGCACCUCCUAGACUUCCUCCCACCAGUCAUCCAUGGAGGACACUUGGGUUUGUGCUGCCUCCACCAAAGUCUCCAUUAUGUUCUUUUUGGAGCAUUGCUGACUGCACCAGUAUUCUUGCAUAUACAUAUAUACAUAUACAUAUACAUAUACAUACAUACAUAAUCAUAUAUAUAUAUGAAAUCAUGGCAUGUCCUAAAAAAAUGAAUAUAUAUAUCAGAAUUCUUGGAUGGAAGUUGUUCA
This 938-nucleotide long non-coding RNA is filed under the name Crocodylus porosus (Australian saltwater crocodile). RNAcentral's name for it is "lncRNA (ENSCPRG00005014380.1)". Lineage: Eukaryota; Metazoa; Chordata; Crocodylia; Crocodylidae. The record is from RNAcentral.